RNAcentral lists this ribosomal RNA (164 nucleotides) under Camellia yunnanensis. RNAcentral describes it as "5.8S ribosomal RNA". It matches the Rfam family "5.8S ribosomal RNA". Rfam says of the family: 5.8S ribosomal RNA (5.8S rRNA) is a component of the large subunit of the eukaryotic ribosome. It is transcribed by RNA polymerase I as part of the 45S precursor that also contains 18S and 28S rRNA. Lineage: Eukaryota; Viridiplantae; Streptophyta; Magnoliopsida; Ericales; Theaceae. The record is from RNAcentral.
AACGACUCUCGGCAACGGAUAUCUCGGCUCUCGCAUCGAUGAAGAACGUAGCGAAAUGCGAUACUUGGUGUGAAUUGCAGAAUCCCGCGAACCAUCGAGUCUUUGAACGCAAGUUGCGCCCGAAGCCAUUAGGUUGAGGGCACGUCUGCCUGGGCGUCUCACGU